Long non-coding RNA from Patella vulgata (common limpet), 1582 nucleotides. RefSeq lists it as uncharacterized. Lineage: Eukaryota; Metazoa; Mollusca; Gastropoda; Patellidae. The transcript is spliced from 3 exons. The record is from RefSeq and is a predicted model, not a curated record.
AUAGACGUCAUUGCUAGAAUCUGCUGAAGUUUACCGAGUGGCUUACCUCAUUGAAGAGCGCUUUGGUUGCCAAGGAACUGAGUUCACCUUUGACCGUGUUGUCAACAACUACUGACAAAGAUGGCGGAAAAAUCAACAGCAUUAUGAAGAUUUAAACUAAUUUUAGCUGAUUUUAGAAAUCAAGGAUGGGAACUCAAGACUGUUAUUUUUAUCAGCAAACCCGCUUUCGCGAGACACCAAAGCGUUUUCGUAAACUUCCUGAGGAAUUACCUGAAAGUCUGAAGUUUGCGCAUCUUAAUCCAAAGCUUGCCGCAUUAAUGGCUAACAAAGAAAAACAAAAACAAGAUGAAAUGAUGGACGUACUAGGUAAAAGAAGUAUUAUGUCUGAAAUAAAUACCACAUUUCAAAACAUUAUACUUUCAAAUGAUGAAGAUUCACAAAGAUAUUUAUUUGAAGAAGCAAAAUUUACAGCUGGCAAUACAUUAGAACAAUUAGCAAGUUUCAUUUAUCGUUACAAGAAUAUUGUAAAAAUUAUUCCUAAAAGUUUAGAAUAUCAAAUGUUAUCUAGUUACCAAGAAUUAAUUGCAGAUAUAGUUUAUGUGACUCGUGAAUGGCAAACUUUGUCUAUGAAAGAACCCCUUUCCAAAUGCAGUGACAAUAAUAGUGAGGAAGACAAGACAGUUAUUGAUGAAGAUUUUCGAAUUGCAAGACCGUCAUCAGAACUUGGCAAAUAUAAGAAAAAACUUACAACAAAAGUAGGAUUGCCAGAAAUAACUGAAGAGCACAAAACGGAUAAAACAAGACAGCCGGUGAUACCAUCUAAUAGACGCAGUGACAGUAAAAAUUCUAUGAUGGUAUCUCGGGCUAAAAAUCGAUUAGAAAGAGGCAAAUCAACUAUACUUUAUGACAAAUUAACAACAGGUGGUUCUUCAGUACGAUCUCCUGAUUUGAAAAAAGGUGCAUUAUAUGAAGGGGAUAAAUGGUCAACUCAUGGAGGAUCACCCUUGGAAACAAAAUGUAAGAAAAGAUAGGUAUAAAGUUAUUAAUAUUAGCCCAGUAAAUCUAGAUUUUUACCUGGAAUAAAUUUGCAGAAAGCUAGAUUCAACUGGUGUUUUUAUUUAGGGUACUUGUUUAUCAAAAUAACAAAAGUCUUCCAAAAUCGGAUUUGUGGGUCUAUGGGAAAAUUGAUAAUCAAUCCAAGAUGGCGGACGACGGCGUGAAAUGGCGUAAAAUGCCAAAUAUCUCCAAAAGGAAGCGUUUUAGACCAUAUAAAUGUUAAUAUAAAAGUGAUAUCAUUGAAUCAUGUGAUGGGGUCAAAUUGUUGCUAUGACAUCAUAAUCAAUAUCUAGUCAGAAAACGAACAAAUUAAAUAGAAAGUGACGUCAUAAUGCAAUUUUGAGUCGGAAAAUAAAAAAAUUAAAUAGAAAUGCCUUUGAAAUAAAGUGGGAAUAAAUGUCGGUACUUUCGCACUGUAUGCAUGAAGUAUUGAGAAAAUCGAUCACCAAUCCAAAAUGGCGGGAAAUGGCUAACAAUGGCAAAUAUCUCUGAAAGGAAGCGUUUUAGACCAUAUAAAUGUAUUAAA